GAUGAACGCUAGCGGCAGGCUUAACACAUGCAAGUCGUGGGGCAGCGCGAGGUAGCAAUACUUUGGCGGCGACCGGCAAACGGGUGCGGAACACGUACGCAACCUUCCUCAGAGCGGGGAAUAGCCUCUCGAAAGAGAGAUUAAUACCCCAUAGUAUCUCGAAACUGCAUGGUUUGGGAUUAAAGCUUCGGCACUUUGAGAUGGGCGUGCGGCUGAUUAGGUAGUUGGUAGGGUAACGGCCUACCAAGCCAACGAUCAGUAGCUGAUGUGAGAGCAUGAUCAGCCACACGGGCACUGAGACACGGGCCCGACUCCUACGGGAGCAGCAGUGAGGAAUAUUGGUCAAUGGAGGAAACUCUGAACCAGCCAUGCCGCGUGAAGGAUGAAGGUCCUCUGGAUUGUAAACUUCUUUAUAGAAGAAGAAACCCCAUUAUCUUAAUGGUUGACGGUACUCUAUGAAUAAGCACCGGCUAACUCCGUGCCAG
This 485-nucleotide ribosomal RNA is filed under the name uncultured bacterium. Its description in RNAcentral is "bacterial SSU rRNA". It matches the Rfam family "Bacterial small subunit ribosomal RNA", at positions 28 to 511 of the family's 1533-position model. The record is from RNAcentral.